AGUACCGAAUAACACUCAGUCCGCAAGGGCAUGGAUCGAAAGCUCCGGCGCUUUGGCUGAGCCCGCGGCCAAUCAGCAUGUUCUAGGGGUAAUGGCCUACAGAGACGACGUCGCCAAGCCGGCCUGGGAGGGCGACCGGAAACACUGGGACUGACCCACGGCCCAGACUCAUACGCCAGGCUGAAGUGGGGAAUAUUGCACAAUGAGCCACCGCCUGAGGCAGAAACGCCGCGUGAGGAAUGCCGGCCUUCGGAUUGUGAAUCUCUUUCAGCAGGAAGGAAGCGAAAGUGACGGUACCUGCGGAAGAAGCGCCGGCUAACUACGAGCCAGCAGCCGCGGUAAUACGUGGGGAGCAAGCGUUGUCCGGAAUUAUUAAUCGUAAAUAGCUCGCAGGCGCCUUGUCACGUCGGAUGUAAAAGCCCGGGACUUAACCCUGAGUCUGCAUUCGAUACGCCCUAGCUAGAGUGUGGAAGGGUAUAUCGAAAUUCGUGAUGUUGCGGUGAAAUGAGCAGAUUUCAUGUUCUAGUGCUGGUGUCGGAGUCGGAUCACUUGUGCCAGUACUGACGCUGAGGAAGCGAAGGUUUGGGGAGCGGAACAUGAUUGGAUGCUCUGACAGUCGGCGCUGUAAACGUGGUGGACUAGCUGUGAGCGACAUUCCU
RNAcentral lists this ribosomal RNA (659 nucleotides) under Streptomyces griseus. RNAcentral describes it as "bacterial SSU rRNA". It matches the Rfam family "Bacterial small subunit ribosomal RNA", at positions 165 to 836 of the family's 1533-position model. Lineage: Bacteria; Bacillati; Actinomycetota; Actinomycetes; Kitasatosporales; Streptomycetaceae. The record is from RNAcentral.